AUUGUCAAAAAUAAAUCAUACUUUAAGAAGAAGUGCAUUAUUAAGAAGCAUUGUCCAUGACAAAACGAAGUUAACAUACUUGAUAUUUUCUCUUUGAUGUUUGUAGGUUUCAAGAGACAAUCUAGUAGCUCUCCAAACACAGCACCUUGCAUAUUAUCUCCAACAAUUUAUAAGUUUUACAAAAAAAGAUAAUCAUAAUUGAUUGAUAAGAUAAAUGAACUGAUGUUAAUUUUGUAGUUCCUCCAAAUGGCCUAAACUAAUGAUGUAACUGGAACAUAAUCAUUUGAAACCAUUCUACCAGCAAAAUGGUUUAGGAAGCAACAAUUAAACAUCAACUACCAGAAACCAUUCUACCAGCAAAAUGGUUUCAGAGUACAACUCUCUGAAACCAUUCUACCAGCUAAAUGGUUUUAGAGUACAACUCUCUGAAACCAUUCUAAAAUCAAUUUUAAGCAACAGAAAAUUCAUAGAAGAAACAUACAUUUAAUGAGAUAUAAACAAUAGGAAUGGACCAAAAAAUGUAUC
Molecule: long non-coding RNA, 525 nt
Filed under: Trifolium pratense (red clover)
Lineage: Eukaryota; Viridiplantae; Streptophyta; Magnoliopsida; Fabales; Fabaceae
Description: long non-coding RNA (TPRA_LNC011190)
Source: RNAcentral